UACGUAGGCGGAAUAUUAAGUCAGUGGUGAAAUCCUGCGGCUCAACCGUAGAACUGCCAUUGAUACUGAUGUUCUUGAAUAUAGUUGAGGUAGGCGGAAUGUGUAAUGUAGCGGUGAAAUGCUUAGAUAUUACACAGAGCACCGAUUGCGAAGGCAGCUUACUAAACUAUUAUUGACGCUGAUGUACGAAAGCGUGGGGAGCGAACAGGAUUAGAUACCCUGGUAGUCC
Molecule: ribosomal RNA, 229 nt
Filed under: uncultured bacterium
Lineage: Bacteria
Description: partial 16S ribosomal RNA
Rfam family: Bacterial small subunit ribosomal RNA
Source: RNAcentral